Clarias gariepinus (North African catfish) is the source of this 234-nucleotide long non-coding RNA. RefSeq lists it as uncharacterized. NCBI's taxonomy places the organism in Eukaryota, Metazoa, Chordata, Actinopteri, Siluriformes, Clariidae. The transcript is spliced from 3 exons. The record is from RefSeq and is a predicted model, not a curated record.
GCACAGGGAUUGGCAGGCAGAUGCAACAGUGUCAGAUGAGCACUUGAAAGAGCUUGAGAAAAGCUCAGAAUUCCUGAAAAUACUUUUACCAAGGAUUGUUGGACCUGGUGAUAACCCAGAGCAGGGAAACCACUUCAUUCUUUGGGUUUUUGACAUGACUACAAAAACCAUCAGAGUUUAUGACAACACUGAUCAGUAUGUGACAAUUUCAAACCGGGACAUGGAAGUUCUGAA